CCUACGGGAGGCAGCAGUGGGGAAUAUUGCACAAUGGGGGAAACCCUGAUGCAGCGACGCCGCGUGAGUGAAGAAGUAUUUCGGUAUGUAAAGCUCUAUCAGCAGGGAAGAAAAUGACGGUACCUGAUUAAGAAGCGCCGGCUAACUACGUGCCAGCAGCCGCGGUAAUACGUAGGGGGCAAGCGGUAUCCGGAUUUACUGGGGUGAAAGGGAGCGUAGACGGCAGCACAAGUCUGGAGUGAAAUGCCGGGGCUUAACCCCGGAACUGCUUUGGAAACUGUGCAGCUAGAGUGCAGGAGAGGUAAGUGGAAUUCCUGGUGUAGCGGUGAAAUGCGUAGAUAUUAGGAGGAACACCGGUGGCGAAGGCGGCUUACUGGACUGUAACUGACGUUGAGGCUCGAAAGCGUGGGGAGCAAACAGGAUUAGAUACCCUUGUAGUC
Molecule: ribosomal RNA, 440 nt
Filed under: uncultured bacterium
Lineage: Bacteria
Description: partial 16S ribosomal RNA
Rfam family: Bacterial small subunit ribosomal RNA
Source: RNAcentral